CGUGAGGGAUGAAGGCCUUCGGGUUGUAAACCUCUUUCAGUAGGGAAGAAGCGAAAGUGACGGUACCUACAGAAGAAGCACCGGCUAACUAUGUGCCAGCAGCCGCGGUAAUACAUAGGGUGCAAGCGUUGUCCGGAAUUAUUGGGCGUAAAGAGCUCGUAGGUGGUUCGAUACGUCGGAUGUGAAAAUCAGGGGCUCAACCCCUGACCUGCAUCCGAUACGGUCGAGCUGGAGUUUGGUAGGGGAGACUGGAAUUCCUGGUGUAGCGGUGGAAUGCGCAGAUAUCAGGAGGAACACCGAUGGCGAAGGCAGGUCUCUGGGCCAAUACUGACACUGAGGAGCGAAAGCGUGGGGAGCGAACAGGAUUAGAUACCCUGGUAGUCCACGCCGUAAACGGUGGGCGCUAGUUGUGCGAACCUUCCACGGUUUGUGCGACGCAGCUAACGCAUUAAGCGCCCCGCCUGGGGAGUACGAUCGCAAGAUUAAAACUCAAAGGAAUUGACGGGGCCCCGCACAAGCAGCGGAGCAUGCGGCUUAAUUCGACGCAACGCGAAGAACCUUACCAAGGCUUGACAUAUACAGGAAUACGGCAGAGAUGUCGUAGCCGCAAGGUCUGUAUACAGGUGGUGCAUGGUUGUCGUCAGCUCGUGUCGUGAGAUGUUGGGUUAAGUCCCGCAACGAGCGCAACCCUCGUUCUGUGUUGCCAGCAUUUAGUUGGGGACUCACAGGAGACUGCCGGGGUUAACUCGGAGGAAGGUGGGGAUGACGUCAAAUCAUCAUGCCCCUUAUGUCUUGGGCUGCACGCAUGCUACAAUGGCUGGUACAAACGGCUG
This 833-nucleotide ribosomal RNA is filed under the name uncultured Actinomycetales bacterium. RNAcentral describes it as "bacterial SSU rRNA". It matches the Rfam family "Bacterial small subunit ribosomal RNA", at positions 400 to 1249 of the family's 1533-position model. The record is from RNAcentral. Lineage: Bacteria; Bacillati; Actinomycetota; Actinomycetes; Actinomycetales.